GACGAACGCUGGCGGCGUGCUUAACACAUGCAAGUCGAACGGCAAGGCCCUGCUUUUGUGGGGUGCUCGAGGGGCGAACGGGUGAGUAACACGUGAGUAACCUGCCCUUGACUUUGGGAUAACUUCAGGAAACUGGGGCUAAUACCGGAUAGGAGCUCCUGCUGCAUGGUGGGGGGUGGAAAGUUUCGGCGGGUGGGGAUGGACUCGCGGCUUAUGAGCUUGUUGGUGGGGUAGUGGCUUACCAAGGCAUUGACGGGUAGCCGGCCUGGGAGGGUGACCGGCCACAUUAGGACUGAGGUACGGCCCAGACUCCUACGGGAGGCAGCAGUGGGGAAUAUUGCACAAUGGGCGGGAGCCUGAUGCAGCAACGCCGCGUGCGUGAUGACGGCCUUCGGGUUGUAAACCGCUUUCGCCUGUGACGCAGCGUGAGUGACGGUAAUGGGUAAAGAAGCACCGGCUAACUACGUG
RNAcentral lists this ribosomal RNA (468 nucleotides) under uncultured bacterium. RNAcentral describes it as "partial 16S ribosomal RNA". It matches the Rfam family "Bacterial small subunit ribosomal RNA", at positions 28 to 507 of the family's 1533-position model. The record is from RNAcentral.